Molecule: long non-coding RNA, 970 nt
Filed under: Felis catus (domestic cat)
Lineage: Eukaryota; Metazoa; Chordata; Mammalia; Carnivora; Felidae
Description: lncRNA (ENSFCAG00000041036.2)
Source: RNAcentral
GGUUGGGAGGCGGGCACAUGGCUCAAGGAGAGCCAAUCACUGUCAACGUAUGUCAGAUCUGAAAUUUUGCUGGCGCUACGGUGGGAAACGACUCCUUCCGCCAGGGUAGCUCAGCUGGUGGAAGCACGUAAGUGAAGCUGCUGAGGGCUGUGUUUGCCACCAAGAGCGGCUAGCCUGCCUGAAGAUGAAGCCAACCCAGGGAAGUGUAGCUCAGAAGUGGUAAGAGAUGGAUUCUUGGCAGUAUUCCGUGAGCCAGCUAUGCCUGAGGCCCCAAGGCUUCUCUGGCACGUAACCCGAAUGCCCAGGUAGUGAGAAACUACUGCCAUGGAUCCUCCCAGGAUUUGCUAGAGGAAGCGUGCUAACUGCCUGAGCACCUGACCAGCCAUCUCCGCCUGCUCCCGUCUCUACAUCUGGUCAGUUCAGAGGGUCCAGGUAACAUGGCCCCGUUCAGCCUUUCCUGGAGAGGACAGGGCUUCAAGGCCCAGCUGAAAUGUCACCCCCUCGGUGAGGAAGCCCCCCUGUGCGCCCAUGGGCUCCAGGUACCCUGCACAGCCCCUGGACACCGGGACACCGUGCCACACUUCCAGCAAGCAUGUCACACGACACAACUGUUCCAGUGGACCCUGCAUGAAUUCACCCAGGUUGAUGAGGCCCCGGUGUUUGCUGGAGAGAGCUCUGGGGAGGCUGCAGGUGCAGAGUGGGCCACUCACCUGGCAAAUGAGCCAACCGUGGCCAGGGGAACCUGCAGGGCCCUUCAGACGCUUUUAUGCCAAAAGCUGGGCACAGGAAAUACCUCACGGGCAUGCGGUUGGAAGCCCAAAAGGAGGCACCCUCCACGAGAUGGCCAGGUGGCCCGUGCACACCGGGACGGAUACGCAGCUAGCAGCAGCCUUUGGUGCUUGACAGGAGGUCCUGGGGGAGAGAGGCAGAGACCGAGGUAAGAAACAGGGAGACAGACAGAGAUAAAGGA